RNAcentral lists this ribosomal RNA (427 nucleotides) under uncultured eukaryote. Its description in RNAcentral is "bacterial SSU rRNA". It matches the Rfam family "Eukaryotic small subunit ribosomal RNA", at positions 13 to 421 of the family's 1831-position model. The record is from RNAcentral.
CCUGACGGUAGUCGUAUGCUCGUCUCCGAGACUAAGCCAUGCAAGUCCAAGUACACGUCCUUGAACGACGGAAACUGCGAACGGCUCAUUAAAUCAGUUGCGAUCUACUCGGCGUUCCGCGCCGCCGGAUAACCGUAGUAAUUCUAGGGCUAAUACGUGCGAAGCGCCGAAGCCGCGAGGCGACGGGCGUUCUCGCCGGAUGUAGGAACCGACCCGGGGACCGCCGGGGCAACCCGGCGCCCCCGAGACGGGGCGAACCACGGUGAAAUGACGGAUCGUCGGCCCCGCGCCGGCGACUCGCCGAAUGAGUUUCUGACCUAUCAACUCGAGACGGCGGGGUAGAGGCCCGCCGCGGUAACGACGGGUAACGGGGAAUCAGGGUUCGAUUCCGGAGAGGGAGCCCGAGAAACGGCUACCACUUCCAAGG